This is a long non-coding RNA of Panicum virgatum (switchgrass), 850 nucleotides long. RefSeq lists it as uncharacterized. The record is from RefSeq and is a predicted model, not a curated record. The transcript is spliced from 2 exons. Lineage: Eukaryota; Viridiplantae; Streptophyta; Magnoliopsida; Poales; Poaceae.
GCAGACGCUGCCACGCUGGCUCACCGCGUCACCCCCGGCCGCCGUUCCUUCUCCCUUCCCUCUGCUCCGCACGGCGCCGGGGGCCUUGCCGCCGCCGCCGUCGCGGGUCUUCCCUCCUCCGCACAGCCUCCACCGCCACGCCGCUAUCCCCUGACCUCUCCAGCCAGCUAUCGCGGCGCGCAUCCCCGCCCCUUACCGCGCCGAGAACCUCCCGAGCAGCUCGCUUCUAUCCCCACAAUCUCCGGCGCUGUUGCACCCUCUCUCCGCCCGCUCGCCGCAGCCACUCUCACCCCCUCGCUCUCUGAUGCCGUCGCUUCCCUGUCUCACCCCCGCACUCGCCGCCGGAGAGCGACGCGGACUGGGCAGAUGCCGCCGUGAGGGUCACCAAGGAGGUGGGUGCAUUCGCGUGGGAUGCCACCCUGCAGAACAAGCUCUGGCUCGACUUCCCCCUCCUACCGACGAUGUUGACUCCGACGAUUUUGACAUGACUGAAGCGCAGCAGGACCACACGCUGGCCGUCAAGAGCUUGGCACCAGAGCUGGUUGAUCUGCGGAUCGAGCUCUGCCCUAGCCGCACGAGUGAGGGCUGCUUCUUGAAGAUAUACUUCGUGCUGCUGCAUCCUAUAGCUCCCGAGAAGUGAGAUUCUGUCGACUCCACUGGUGAUUUUCCGUGGCAUAUGUUCAUUGAGUUAGCCAUAGGAGCUCACUAAGUUAAUUAGCAUCCCUCCAUGAUCCAGCAAUGUGAAUCAGAUAAGUUGUUAAAUCUAGAAUGCAUUCCACAGGUUUGCUAUGUUGUAUUUGGAAUCAUGGAAGAUUGGGGUGGCAAGAAACUUAGUGCUUGUGACUGUUAA